Molecule: ribosomal RNA, 265 nt
Filed under: uncultured archaeon
Lineage: Archaea
Description: partial 16S ribosomal RNA
Rfam family: Archaeal small subunit ribosomal RNA
Source: RNAcentral
ACACGACUACAUUAGAUACCCGCGUAGUCCUAGCCGUAAACGAUACUCGCUAGGUGUCGGCCACGGUGCGACCGUUGUCGGUGCCGUAGGGAAGCCGUGAAGCGAGCCACCUGGGAAGUACGGCCGCAAGGCUGAAACUUAAAGGAAUUGGCGGGGGAGCACCACAACGGGUGGAGCUUGCGGUUUAAUUAGAUUCAACGCCGGAAAUCUUACCGGGACCGACAGCAACAUGAAGGCCAGGCUGAAGACUUUGCCGGAUUAGCUG